This 1299-nucleotide ribosomal RNA is filed under the name Priestia aryabhattai. RNAcentral describes it as "bacterial SSU rRNA". It matches the Rfam family "Bacterial small subunit ribosomal RNA", at positions 112 to 1357 of the family's 1533-position model. The record is from RNAcentral. Lineage: Bacteria; Bacillati; Bacillota; Bacilli; Caryophanales; Bacillaceae.
AACACGUGGGCAACCUGCCUGUAAGACUGGGAUAACUUCGGGAAACCGAAGCUAAUACCGGAUAGGAUCUUCUCCUUCAUGGGAGAUGAUUGAAAGAUGGUUUCGGCUAUCACUUACAGAUGGGCCCGCGGUGCAUUAGCUAGNUUUGGGUGNGANGGGNUAACNGGCUUCANCCAAGGCAACGAUUGGCAUAGCCGGACCUGAGAGGGUGAUCGGCCACACUGNGGACUGAGACACGGCCCAGACUCCUACGGGAGGCAGCAGUAGGGAAUUCUUCCGCCAAUGGACGAAAGUCUGACGGAGCAACGCCCGCGUGAGUGAUGAAGGCUUUCGGGUCGUAAAACUCUCUUUGUUAGGGAAGAACAAGUACGAGAGUAACUGCUCGUACCUUGACGGUACCUAACCAGAAAGCCACGGCUAACUACGUGCCAGCAGCCGCGGUAAUACGUAGGUGGCAAGCGUUAUCCGGGAAUUAUUGGGCGUAAAGCGCGCGCAGGCGGUUUCUUAAGUCUGAUGUGAAAGCCCACGGCUCAACCGUGGAGGGUCAUUGGAAACUGGGGAACUUGAGUGCAGAAGAGAAAAGCGGAAUUCCACGUGUAGCGGUGAAAUGCGUAGAGAUGUGGAGGAACACCAGUGGCGAAGGCGGCUUUUUGGUCUGUAACUGACGCUGAGGCGCGAAAGCGUGGGGAGCAAACAGGAUUAGAUACCCUGGUAGUCCACGCCGUAAACGAUGAGUGCUAAGUGUUAGAGGGUUUCCGCCCUUUAGUGCUGCAGCUAACGCAUUAAGCACUCCGCCUGGGGGAGUACGGUCGCAAGACUGAAACUCAAAGGAAUUGACGGGGGCCCGCACAAGCGGUGGGAGCAUGUGGUUUAAUUCGAAGCAACGCGAAGAACCUUACCAGGUCUUGACAUCCUCUGACAACUCUAGAGAUAGAGCGUUCCCCUUCGGGGGACAGAGUGACAGGUGGUGCAUGGUUGUCGUCAGCUCGUGUCGUGAGAUGUUGGGGUUAAGUCCCGCAACGAGCGCAACCCNUUGAUUCUUAGUUGCCAGCAUUUAGUUGGGCACUCUAAAGGUGACUGCCGGUGACAAACCGGAAGAAAGUGGGGAUGACGUCAAAUCAUCAUGCCCCUUAUGACCUGGGGCCUUACACACGUGNNCNUACANAAUNNGGAANNUGGUACAAAGGGCUGCAAGACCGCGAGGUCAAGCCAAUCCCAUAAAACCAUUCUCAGUUCGGAUUGUAGGCUGCAACUCGCCUACAUGAAGCUGGAAUCGCUAGUAAUCGCGGAUCAGCAUGC